RNAcentral lists this long non-coding RNA (794 nucleotides) under Ananas comosus (pineapple). Its description in RNAcentral is "long non-coding RNA (ACOM_LNC026744)". Lineage: Eukaryota; Viridiplantae; Streptophyta; Magnoliopsida; Poales; Bromeliaceae. The record is from RNAcentral.
UUCUUGUUUCAUUUUUUUCUUAUAUUAGAAUAAUCUCUAGAUUUGCAUGUCUCUCCCUCUCCCCCUUUUAUCUCUUUCUCUUCCCUCCCCUCUCUCUGUCAUAUCUUGAUAUGUCUCUCUCUCUCCUUUCUUUUCUCUCUCUAUAAGAUUUUAUAAUAAUCUUUUCUUUCUUUCUCCUCCAUAUACAUUUCUAUCUCUUCUUUCCUCUUUCUCCCCUCUCUUUUUUUCUCUCUAUUCCCUCCCCUCUCUCUAUCAUAUCUUAUUGGAUUUUAUAAUAAUCUGUAAAAUCUUUCCAAAUAACACUAUUUCCUAGGCAAUUGUUAUGCCUCGAAACCUUAACUCUCACUCUUACAACUCUCUCUCUUCUUAAAUAUUUCAAUCAUACAUAUCCUAUAAGCUCUCAUAAAAUAUGCUCAAACUUUUUAUACUUUUUCUUCUCUAUCAAACUACAAAAUUCUUAUAAUUUUUUUUGCACUCUUUUUUCCAAUCUUUUCUCCUCAAAAUUUAUAUAAUUUUUUCUCUCUAUUAAAACAACAAAUAUCUUACAAUUUUUCUUUCCCUUAUCAUUUUAUUUUUCUUUGGCUGGUACGUGCAUGCCUCAAAAUUGUUACUCACAUUAAAUUUACAUUCUUAUAAUUUUUUUUCAUUUUUUCCCACCAAUCCAAAUAAAUGUGAAUUUUUUUCUUUCAACCAAACAAAUGUUGAUAGAAAACUACUUUUUCUUCCUAUAAACCAAACACUACAAAAUAUAAAACAUUUUACUCCUGAUAAUUUUUUAAUAAAAAAUUAAUUUU